Molecule: ribosomal RNA, 253 nt
Filed under: uncultured bacterium
Lineage: Bacteria
Description: partial 16S ribosomal RNA
Rfam family: Bacterial small subunit ribosomal RNA
Source: RNAcentral
UACGGGGGGGGCAAGCGUUGUUCGGAAUUACUGGGCGUAAAGGGCUCGUAGGCGGCCAACUAAGUCAGACGUGAAAUCCCUCGGCUUAACCGGGGAACUGCGUCUGAUACUGGAUGGCUUGAGGUUGGGAGAGGGAUGCGGAAUUCCAGGUGUAGCGGUGAAAUGCGUAGAUAUCUGGAGGAACACCGGUGGCGAAGGCGGCAUUCUGGACCGAGACUGACGCUGAGGCGCGAAAGCGUGGGGAGCGAACAGG